GGAAUAUUGGACAAUGGCCGGAAGGCUGAUCCAGCCAUGCCGCGUGAAGGACUAAGGCCCUACGGGUCGUAAACUUCUUUUGGCGCAGAGCAAUAAGGACUACGCGUAGUCCGAUGAGAGUAUGCGUCGAAUAAGCAUCGGCUAACUCCGUGCCAGCAGCCGCGGUAAUACGGAGGAUGCGAGCGUUAUCCGGAUUUAUUGGGUUUAAAGGGUGCGUAGGCGGAUGAUUAAGUCAGCGGUGAAAUGUUCCGGCUCAACCGGGGAGCUGCCGUUGAUACUGGUUAUCUGGAAUGCUCCUGCCGUGGGAGGAAUGUGUGGUGUAGCGGUGAAAUGCAUAGAUAUCACACAGAACACCGAUUGCGAAGGCAUCUCACGAAGGGGUGAUUGACGCUGAGGCACGAAAGCGUGGGGAUCGAACA
This 419-nucleotide ribosomal RNA is filed under the name uncultured bacterium. RNAcentral's name for it is "bacterial SSU rRNA". It matches the Rfam family "Bacterial small subunit ribosomal RNA", at positions 358 to 774 of the family's 1533-position model. The record is from RNAcentral.